This 494-nucleotide ribosomal RNA is filed under the name uncultured bacterium. Its description in RNAcentral is "partial 16S ribosomal RNA". It matches the Rfam family "Bacterial small subunit ribosomal RNA", at positions 28 to 507 of the family's 1533-position model. The record is from RNAcentral.
GACGAACGCUGGCGGCGUGCCUAAUACAUGCAAGUCGAGCGGACUUAAAAUGCUUGCUUUUUAAGUUAGCGUCGGACGGGUGAGUAACACGUGUGCAACCUGCCUGUAUGACUGUGAUAACUUCUCGAAACCGUAGCUAUUACCCGAUAUUCCUUUUCUUCUUAUGUAGAAAAGCUGAAAGACUGUUUACGCUGUCACUUACACAUGGGCCCUCUCCGCAUUAGCUAGUUGGUGUGGUAACGCCUCACCAUGGCGACUAUGCGUAGCCGAACUGAGAGAGUGAUAGGCCGCACUGGGAGUGAGACACGGACCAGACGACUAAGGGAGGCAGCAGAAGGGAAUCGUACGCAAUAGACGAGAGUAUGACGGAGCAACGCGGAGUGAGAGAUGAAGGUGUUCGGAUCGUAAAAAUCGGUUGUUAGGGAAGAACAAGUACGAGAGUAACUGCUCGUACCGUGACGGUAACUAGUCAGAAAGCAACGGCUAACUACGUG